Molecule: long non-coding RNA, 6485 nt
Filed under: Equus caballus (horse)
Lineage: Eukaryota; Metazoa; Chordata; Mammalia; Perissodactyla; Equidae
Description: lncRNA (ENSECAG00000043059.2)
Source: RNAcentral
GUAAAAGCUGUAAUUUGCCAGAGGUCACACACCUGGCCAGUGGUGGAGCCAAGGAGAACGGGCCCUUUGCCCAGGGUGAUGCUGCAUUGAGGCGGCUGCCUGAGCGUGGAGCACGGCCACAACAGCCAUUCUGGACAAAGCGCAGAGGAGCAGCUUCUUUGUUGGUCACAGACGGAGGAAGUCUGCAGAAAUGGGGGCUUUCUCCAUGGGACAUGAUUUCCUGCCAGGGUGAAGAUGCCAAGCCUGCCAGACGGUCUGCUGUGGCUUCCUGCUGCUCAGGCCAGUUACAGGUUAAAGCCCUAUUAGCAAGAGCCACACACUGAGCUGGACUCUCAGUGUUGGGCCACGGAGGGACCUUGAGAUGGGUCUAACAACGCCCUAUGAAGGAGGUAGAGAGAGGCCAGGCUACUUGGUCAAGGUCACAUGGGGAUUAUUGCUUCCAAGCAGGGCUCCAGACCAAGGUCUGUCUGACCCCAGAGUCCAGGAUCUUAAUCACUACCUGAUAAUGCCUCUAUAUGUGAUGAAGCGCUGUUUCUUUCCUGGAGGAGGGGCGUGAUUAGCUUAAUUUUAAUACAAUGACUUCUUUUCUUCUGAUGAAGCUAAUUCGCAGUUUCCAUUGGAAUCAAGUAGGGUUAAGGGCUUGAGGUAUACUUUGUCUAACUAAAGUUAUACGAUAUUGAACCAUUUUUUCUAGAAAAACUUACCUAUGGGAAGAGUGGCAAUUAUACUUGAGAGAAAAUGUGCCAAUGAAUGAGCAGUAGACUGUUGACUUAAGGAUUGGUAAAACACAAAGAGCUCGCUAAGUCCUUAAUUAUUGGUGUUCAGUUAAGGACGCACCUUUCUAUUCUGAUGCUCCUGUGGGUAUCAAGUCAAAGAAACAGGAGCUGCUAUUUUACGGGCAUUGGGACAGACUUUCUCUGAGUGUCUAGCAGCUCUCACUGCAUAUUGGGAAUCAACAACAGAUAACAAAGAAAUGAGGUGGAGGAACCAGUUAAACCUAAUUUGAUUUAACGUAUGUAUUUACACUACUAUGUAUAUUGUUACUCUGCUAGGCCAUGGAGAUUCCAGAAUUUCUAUAAAGGAGGGGUGAGUGUUUUGGUUGGAAGACAGCACUCGAGGUAUUUUUACACUGGUUUUACAAAGCAGAAAACACUGUUUUUUCUUUGAUUAUACAUUUGUUUGGAGGAAAGUUUGUUGCUUUUGGAAAUUAUACAUUCCUACAGUAAGACAUAAAAUUCACGGCCCCUUCUUCCCUACUUCGCCUCAAGGGAGCUUAACAGGGCCUGAUUAAGCAAAGAAAGUCAUCAAACAUUCUUGGACAGCUCAGAAAUCCCUGGGGUUGAGUUGAGUUUUCGGUGAAGGGUUCAUAUUGGUGUCAAAGGAGUUCCCGCGAUCUCGUCACUGUCCACGCUUGACAGGACUACAGUUUCACUGCACUCACACUGACAGCCAGGGGACAAGCAUUCCUGCUUGAGACCUGAAGAAAGAAACACCUGGGUGUGAUUACCUGCAACUAUCCAGGUAAUUCUUUUAUUAAAUAACUUCACAAUUCAUUUCCAGGGGAGCAGGGACUCCAAAUGGAGCACAGGCUCUAAGGGUCUACCUUUGGAUGCUGUCCCCUGGCCUCCUUCCCACUACCUACCUCAGAGGCUUCUAGCUUUUUCCUCUUUGCUGAGCACCUAGGAUUCUUUUUUUUUUUUUUUUUUUUUCCUACGCAAAAGGGAAAACUAGGCAUUGACUUAUGUGACAACUUCAGCCCAAAGUGGCACGGUGGCUCUCAGUUUGCCCCAAACCCCAGUUAUAGGGUAGAGAGACCAGAAUUCACACCCUACUUAAUCAGGGAAACAUUCCUUCCACUCUGAGAAAAAAUAAAAUAGCCUUAGAAGAAAAAGAACUUUGUAAGUUGGCUAGUUCCUAACAAUGGGAGAAAAUCACCAGUGGCCGGUUUGUGUCUAUGAAGGACCGUAAGUCUCCUCAGCUUAUUCUUACCUGGAGCAGGUUGGGCUGGAGAUCAGAUGGUAAUUUAAAGCAAUAAAGAUGGGAGAUAUGAAAGAGCCAUAUUAAAUCUGGGGUGACCCAGAGUUUUUUCCAAAACUCACUAGGACAUAAGCCCCAUGAAGGCAGGGAUUUUGUUGCUUGGAACUUACAAGGCUUUCAAUAUAAAAUUACUAAUGAAUGUGUGAAAGCCAAUAUGGACCCAUGAUGCGGAUGAUCGAGAAACCUGUUUCCAUCUGCUGAUAGGAUUCCUAGUGAGGAGAGAAGGUUGGAGGUCAGUGCCUCUCACUCCCACCCCUAAGAAGGCUCUGCACUUGUCACCACCACCCCUACCACCACUAUUACUACUGCUAAUUAUACUAAUUACAAUCAUUGAUUGUCUACUCUAUGCCAGAUAGCAUACCAGGCUACAUUUAUACAUACAUUUACAUUUAUAUUUAAAUUGAACUUCACAAUAACCUUGUAGGUAGGCAUUACGAUCCCCAUUUUGUAGAUAAGGAAACCAAAGCUCACAGAAGUAACUUGUUCAAUCUCACAGCUAACAAACAGCAAAGUAGAGAUUUUAAUGUAGGUCAGACUGACCCUAAAACUCACUAUUUACUUUUACUACACUACCGAGAUGUAAAGGGGAGAAUGAUGUCUAUUUGUGUGUUGUUAUUAGGGGUUCUAAAGGGAAAUCAUGCGCCUUAUGAGGAAAAAAUCACCCCCAGUCAACUCCAACAUGUCAACGAUUUCCAUUUUAAUGUUAUUAUUUAUGGCAUUGAUGUUGCGGAUUAUUAUUAUAUUCUUCUAGAAUUCAUCUCAAGUUUUUAAUACAUGAUCAGACAUUUGUAUGGGUUCUCAGUAAUUUAUGUAUAGUGUUAGGCACAAAUAUCUUCUCUGGGAACAAGAAUCGUGCCUUCUGAUGCAUGUUCUAUCAUACUUAGAAGAGUAUUAGCCACUGCAUAAAUAUUCACAGAAGGAUCAAGAAUCUGGCGCUUAAAGACUAUUUAAAUAGUUCCCUGAUGCAACAUCCUUACUAACUGAUUAUGAUAAAAGAUAUGAACCAUAUUGUGCCUCCCCUGGAAGUGAUAAAUAACUUCACCAUAUAUAAUUACCAGAUUACAUUAUAACACAUGAAUCAGGCAUUAUCAGUGCAUCCAAUGACUUGUAUUUGUACAGCCAAAUAGUCUUCUAGAAAAGAGAUGACGUGGCAUGGUAGAUAGGCAUCCAAUAUGAAAUGGCAGGUGAUCUCCUUUGUCUGCUAAAUACCAGAGAGACUAGAAAUCUGCAGAAGAUGUUGAUACAAAAAUGAACACCUCUCUCACCAUUUAGUGAAGGACAGAAAGCAGAACCAGGAUGACAGGAGCUAAAGGAGAGAAGAUGAAAACAACCUUUUCUCAACCUCCUCUCCUGGCCUGAGGCUAACCUCUCACAAUAUGUGGCAAUGGCCCCCAUAGUUCCUUAACUAACUAAUUAACGAUUUAAUUCAAUUUUUUAAAAACUGCCUUGACCCACAUUUUCCUCCAUCUAGUGACCCAUCUCUCGGAUUACCUUUCCAGGAAAAUUCCUCAAGUGUUGUUUACAUGAACUAUGUCUCCUUUCUCUUCCCCAGUUCUCUCCUGAACCUCUGAAACUGCUCUUGACACCAUCACCAGUGGCCUCUGAGCUGCCGGAUUCAAUGUGCAGCCAGAAUGAUCCUAUUAAACCCUGCAUCUGAUUAUCAUCUUUCUGUUUACAAACAUCCAAUGUCUUCUCAGUGAAAGUCAAAGUCCUUACAAGGGGUCCAUAAGGCCCUGUGUGGUCUUGUCCCCCAUUACCUCUCUUGUCUCCCAUUAGCUUUUUGCCUGCUGCUGUUCCUUUCACUCACUGACCUCCAGUUCCACUAGCCUCUUUGCUUUUCCUAAACAUAUCAAACCCAUUUCUGCCUCAUGGUCUUUGUAUUUACUGUUUCUUCUACCAGAAGUGCCUAGAUAUCCACAUGGCUCACCCUCUAACUUUAUUCAGGUCCCUGCUUAAAUGUUGCUUCCUCAGGGAGCCUUCUUGACCAAAACCCCACCUCUCUACUCUGUCCUCUUAAUUGGCUUUCUUUUUCUUCAUUGCCUGUAUCACCAGCUGAUAUUUCAUAUAUUUCUAUGUUUGUGUGGUCUGUCUGCCCUUUCUUCACUGUAAUCUUUAUGAAGGCUGAAAUUUUGGAGUAUCGAGUUCACUGUCGUAUCCCAACAGCUAGAGUAGUCCCUUGUGCAUAGUGGGUGCUUAAUAAAUGUUUAUUGAAUGAAAGGUUCACUUCCUGGAGGCAAGAACUAACCAGGCAGGUGAGAAGAGAAGAUUCUGGGGAGACGAAAUGGCAACUGAAAGCCACUCAUAGAGGCCUGAGAGGACUCAGCAGAUUCAACAACUUAGGAGUAGUUCUAACUGACUCUGAAGGACCCUCUCCAUUAAUACCCAUGUCCUUUCAAGGGUCUCUUGCAGAGUGCUAACCCUUCAUUCCAGCGUUAUCAGGCCAUUGCCCAACUUGUUCCAGGGAGAAAGUCUUGCGCUUCAUGAUGGCUAAUUGCUCUCCCUUCCUGAGGAGCUCCCACUUGAGGAGAAGUAUUUGGGGUCGGGGGGUAAGCGGAGGGCCUCCGGAGGGAAGGAAGUGAAGAUACUAGAGGAGGGAAGAGCUCUCACGUUAAUCCUGUGGGUUCAUUACACUGGAAAGGUGGGUCCAGGAAAACCACGUUUGGCAGGUAACGGGCCUUGCCUGUGUGACUCAGCAGCCUCCAGCAUGGCUCUCCCAUCACUCACCCACCAGGUGUUCUUCCCAGCAACCACAUCAGCUUGACAGGGAGCACCACAGCUGGGGUGCUGAGAUGGACAAAGAGGUGCAGCUCUCUCUCCUCUGCGGUCCAGGUGUCAACAGAUGGGAAAUGGAUCUGCCCCUCCCUUACCAAAUAAAUAGGACUUUUACAGGCUGAGUAAUCCCACAUGGGAUAAGACCGUCAGUUAUCCCAGGUUUUCCAGCAAGCUCAAAGCUCCUCAGUCCUGAAUCAUAGAGCCCAUCACAGUUGGUGUAAGGAGCGGCGUUUCUAGAAUGCUGGCCACCCACUGGGCAGCAGUGAGACUGCAUAUUCCCCCCACUGGAGUUAUAGGGAGCCAAGUAUUCCUGGGAGCUGCUGCUUGUCCUUUAAACUCCACCCUCUGGCAAACGUCCCACCGCAGGUCCCACAGCCUUUGUGCUCACGGUUCUGUGCAGGUGCAGUUAAGCCCUCCUGCCCAGCCCGGGAGAGACAGUGAAAUUGCUGACGUGAUGGCUGCAGGAAGGAAAAUGCUCCCUUAUUGAGAAGGCAUGAGCCCGGAACCUUUUCAUUCUUAGCUGCUCUGACCUCAGUGAAAUGGCGAGGAGACAGGUUCUCGGGUCAUUCUCCUCUCUCUUCUGAUUCCCUUCCAAUGCCAGACCUCUGAGCCAGGGAAGCCUGGCUGGUCCUGACAAGUGAAAAAGGGGCACUGGCAGGUGGACAAAGACCCAUUAGAAGCUAAGUCCUUGAGUUCAACAGUGCCAUCCUCUAGCCACCUGUGAGGGAGAGAGCUCGUGGAGUUGACAUGCAAAGAGCACUAGACUGGGAACCAGAAGUCCUGGGCUCUCAGACACUUGCUUAGGUGCCACUGAACCUUCGUGAACCUCAGUUUCUUCAUCAUAAAAUGAGGAUACCUCCCAUCCCGGAUUCACUAAAUUAUGAGAAUUAAAUGAGUUAGAAUGAAUGAAAGCUUUGGAAUGCUGACAAGUAAGCCACUCCAAAUGAGUCUUCAUUUUGCUCUUGUGAGCAGUCAUGACGUUCUGCAACCUGGCUGGCGUAGCCACUUCGGGCCAUCGCUGAGUGACAGGGGGCCCCCACCCAAGGGCGGAUAACAGAGGUGGGCCCUGGGGUUCUCAUUUGCCCUCUCUCCUUCCUAUAAAUAUUCUGCAAACAUUGGGCCAGGCACUGUUGAAAGAAGAAAUCAGCAAUAUUUCAAGGAGGGACAGCAGAACUAACUCCCUAAUGCUAGCCCACGAUAGUGAUUGCCUGGUCCAAGAGGGAGGACACUUUGACUAGGACAACACAAACCAUCUCGGCUUUCAACAUGCACCUGGUUGAUAAACACCAACACUGAUAGGAGAUCUUUCGGGAGCUUUCAGUCUCAAACACCAGCUGAGAACCCGGGAAACAAGCAACGCAACCCUGGCUGAGUGGUCACCUACCUUCCAUCUUCUGAUGGAAGCAGCAGAAGUGCUGGAGUCUUUGACUCACCCAAGCCUGUUUUUUAGCACGGGGUCAGUUUGGGGUCAGCUGUCAAUCCCUAACGCUAGAGAAGCUCACCUCUGACUGAGUCAGAAUCUCCAGGUUUUUUAUCUACCAAGCAAUGAAUUGGCACUUUUCACCAAGGAGUGACUACCGGGCCCUGUAGAGCCUUAUUAAGCUCCGUGACUUUAAUGACUCUCCUGUUUAAUGGAAGCAAAAGCCGUUUAAGUGGUCACAGCUGCCAGGAGCUUU